Molecule: long non-coding RNA, 1271 nt
Organism: Thunnus maccoyii (southern bluefin tuna)
Lineage: Eukaryota; Metazoa; Chordata; Actinopteri; Scombriformes; Scombridae
Exons: 2
Source: RefSeq, a predicted model, not a curated record
GCCAUGCCUACGCCACACAAAGAUAAAUAGUGGAACACAAGGGAGGGGGAACACAAAGAAACAUAAGCAAAAUUAGAGGCAUGGCCUUAACCGAGACAAUAAGUCAUUACAUGCAAAAUGGUUGAACCACUUGUCAUAAUCUAUGAAGCAUAUUUUCUAUACAUUUCUAUUAGACUUUUUUGUAAAUGUGUCCUGAAAUGAUGAAUUGCUCUCAGGUGAAUCUUGACUUUCACUAAUGAAAGGGAAUGUGUGAAGUGUUAGAUCAACCAAUGAUCAGCCAGUUCUCUAAAAUAGGUCAGAGGUGCAUCUCACAAACCUUCACUUGGCAAGUAUAUAUAGACAAAGAACAACACAGUGUUACAAUUUCUGACAGUGGAAGAACAGAAAAGAAAUAGACAGUGUCAACAGCCGGUAAGAACUGAAGGAAUCAUGGCCUUACAAUGGCCUUACAAUGUCCGAGGCUAGUUGAAGGAUGCAGCCAUAUGUUGGGAGAACAACUGUGUCCUCAAUCAUUCAAAUGUUUCGUAGACAGAACAGAUGAUGUGGCAUCUCUGGACAACCUGCAGGCCCCUCAGUAACAUUUGCAGCUGCCACCCCCUGCAGGAACACAAAGGUCAUGGCAGCUUGGGCCCUCCCCACUGUCUCACUCACACAAUCCCUGAGAGUACCACCAGGGAGAGCAGCUGCUCCUGCCAGGAGGACACAGAGGAAGAGGGAGAGGAAGCUGGAGGACACGGACGGGUUCAUGACUUCAGUUUCUCUGCUCUAUUUCUAUCAAUAAACCAACAGUGUUGUGAUCUGAUCAAGCUCCAACUCCAGAAUGAAGCGAAGAAGAACCAUUUUUUGAGGUUUCAUUCAGCUAAAUUUGAGAUUUUGUGUGUGAAAGACAAACUGAUGAUCUAUACAGCAUGUCUGUUUCUGGCGCAACAUCAAUCUGCUGCUGCUUUUGUGAUUUUAUCAAGAGGAUCAAUCUAAAUACUUACUGUAACAAUGGAUUAAUGCUUAUAAAUAAUAUAAAAUAAUUUAUUUCAACUAAACACUCUCCAACCAAAAUCGGCAAAGAAAAUAACAUUUAAUAUUAUUCCCAUCUUCCCCACCAGCAUAUUUUUGUUUUAUUUGGCCUUUUGUUUUACUUUGAUUCCACAACACCUUACUCUUAACCAUCCACACACAUCCACAUGAACAUUACUGAUGCCACUGACUAACACACUUCAUACCUGAAGUUACUUUGUGGUUUAUUUACUUGGCUGCAAUAAAUAACUUGUACUUAA